RNAcentral lists this long non-coding RNA (556 nucleotides) under Micromonas commoda. RNAcentral describes it as "long non-coding RNA (MCOM_LNC000478)". The record is from RNAcentral. Lineage: Eukaryota; Viridiplantae; Chlorophyta; Mamiellophyceae; Mamiellales; Mamiellaceae.
AAGAGGAAGAGCGGAGCUCCCCUGGCUGUUCGAACCAACACUCCGCCCCCCAUGUCCAGGAGCGCCAGGACGGCGGCGAAGGUUACGAGCCCCUUGGCGGACAAGCGCAGGACGACCGCCGCGAGCUCUUACGAUCCGGAGAACCUGGACGGGGCGACCAUCGGGAGAGUCAGCAAGCAGCGCAGGCGGUGAGACGGUUGAGUACGCGGGAAAGACGGAACGGCGCACACGGAGGAGAGAGUGAACGCACACGUCCACGCGAACAUUGAAAUGAGAACCAAGUCUGUAUGUCUAAAGCGUACGGUGCACACUCGCGGUGAAAGUCGGGCGUUGAGUGGGGGCUGGAUCCCACUGGAAGCUGCGGCUGGGCACCCACCAAAAUAUGUCGUCUGAAUCCGAACUUUAGAACUAGAACGCGGUUAGGAAAUGAGCAUGGGCAUGGUCGGGUGCCUUUUCGUUCGAAAUAAAUGCCUCGGCCGCUGAGUGUGUGCUCAGAGACGUGCGGCCUGGGGCUCCGUGAACUUGAACGUGGCACCGCCGACAGACGCAGCAGCGA